RNAcentral lists this long non-coding RNA (2212 nucleotides) under Cricetulus griseus (Chinese hamster). RNAcentral's name for it is "lncRNA (ENSCGRG00015031525.1)". The record is from RNAcentral. Lineage: Eukaryota; Metazoa; Chordata; Mammalia; Rodentia; Cricetidae.
CUCUUUCUUCUUUGAGUUUUGUUUCGUUUUGUUUUUCUGGUCUGGUAUUUUAUCAUAGCAACAAAAACAAAAAGUAGCUAAUAUGGAGGCUACAGGGAGAAUUACAACAUUUGUUGCUGGGAGAGGCUGGGUAAUCCUGGGCAGGCUGCCUGCAUCCUUUGGCCUGAAUGACAAUUGGGCGAGUAAAAAAGAUGAGGGUCACCCUAAGGCAAGGGUGAGGCUGUGCUGUCUUUUAGGACUGCUACCUCAAGGUCUUAGUUGCUCAAUACCCAAAUCACAUGGCUGACAGGCUAUCUUGUCACCUCCCUGUCAGGGCUGGGCCACCUCUGCCUCUCCUACCUGACUUCUGCCACCCCUGUGUGAGAUGCUAUCUUCCCCAACGCCCUUCUUCUCCCAGGCCUCAGGGGUAGGGCCUCAUGGGCUCAGGUGGACCUCAAGCCCAAGCAGAUGAUGGCAGCCAUAUGGGACCCAGAUAUUCUGCAUCCUUCUAAGCUGUCCAAACCCUGCACAAUGGCAUGGGAAACUUUAUACAGCAGAUUCUAGAGCCAGCCACCCUCUGUCUCCCUUCCCCCUCAUCUCCAGUCCUGUGAGAGAAGCUUCUGAAGAAAGAUUAUAAUGCCAGCAAGGUCAUAUUCAGGAAGACUGAACCAUCCCCAAAGCAGUGAGGGGGCCUCAGGAUAGGAAGAUGGCAGGUCUUGGAGAUAUGUAAAUAGAAAGAAGCAAGAGUGUCUGAGGAAAAGUUCCCGUGCACUAUGAGGUACAUUGGGUGGAAGCUUCCACAGAUUCCUGAAGACCUACCUGCUGUUCUCCCCCCAAACCCCAAGCAAGGUUCAUCACUGUCACAUUUGCUAUGGCUCUUAAAAAUCCAGAUGAGGGGGUCUCUGACCAUGGUCCACAGUGUAUGCUCAACCCUCAGGACAACCAGUGAUAAAUAGUGGCUGAACCCACCCCACUCCAUUUAGUGGGAUCUAAUUGCUGGUUUGCAGAAAACAGCCCCUCACAUAUGUCUGCCCCUGUGGGGUUCAUGCUUGCAUGAGGCCAAGCACAAACAUCCUCUGCCACACAGUAUGCUGAGCCUGCUGUCUAUUCUCUGUGUGUCUGCCUCACCGCCCCCUCCCCAAACAUGCAUCAUUGUCACACACACUAUGCAUGUCCCUUUCCCAGCUGAGGAGAUGGCAGCACCUUUCCUACCAGGAAGACAUCCCGGGAUGGGACUCUGUACCUCUCAAGUGGUCGGUCCUUCUCUAUGCCAGAUGUUGAAGAUCUAGUAGUCCCUCUCAUUUCACAUCUUGUGAGCAUCCUAACCCUUACCUGCAGCUAAGAGGACACACCAAGGUUUGCCAGGAAUGUUGACUAAGCUAGGAGCCUCCUCUGAGUCUAGAGAAACAGUUGGUAUCUGAUAUGGUGAGACUGAAGUACCCAGAGAGUGGUCUGGGCAAAUCAUGGCACCCCCAGAAGCUGUUAAAGGACAUCCCACGGGGAGAGAAGGGCCCUGGGGGAAGGGCUCCAAAUACUUCCACUCCUCCACUCAGAGACAGUCACUGCUCCAGCCACUCUCCUUUCCAGAAAGCUAAGAGACACAUUCUUGCAUACAGGAUGGCUCGAAGGGGGAAGGCAGCAAGAGAAGGCCCAAGAAGCGGGGAUACCUGGAAAGAUCAUGCACCUUGCUUCUAGAUGGCCCAAAGAGGUCAGCUCCUCUAGGAAAUCAGCCUGGCCUCUGCAAACUAGUUUGGGCACCUUUCUGUUUCUACUCUACCACCCACCCCCACCUUCAAUCGCGUAAUAGACCAACUGCCUGCUGCUAUCCUGGAUCUGUGUCCCUAGUCCAGGGCUACUCAGGCCCAAGGUUCUAACAGCGGUGGUGUUCAGAGGGCUCCACACGCUGAGAGGUGGAGAGGCAGGUCUGCCUGCCGGAACCUGGAAGUGGUUUGGGAACAAGGCGCGGCCCCAUCCCCCAUCAGAGCCACCGCAGCCCUGCAUCCCUCCCCGGGCUAGAGCACCGGCCCGUAAAAGCGACUUCAAAGGGCCAGUGCCUGGUGCCUGAGUUUCCACAGCCGGCUCAGCUUCGCAGCCAGGCGGGACCCAGACAUCGGAGCGGACUCUAUUCUGGGGGGCUUCAAUAAGCGGGUGGGGUGGGGGGUGCGGGGUGCAGCCUGAGAAAGUGAGGGGCGGGUCCUCAGAGCCCCCAAAGUGGGAGGGUCGGGAGUCCGCG